Molecule: small RNA, 106 nt
Filed under: Marmota monax (woodchuck)
Lineage: Eukaryota; Metazoa; Chordata; Mammalia; Rodentia; Sciuridae
Source: RNAcentral
GCCAGGCGUGGUGGUGCACGCCUGUGAUCCCAGGGCUCUGGAGGCUGAGGCAGGAGGAUCGCAUGUUUGAGGCCAGCCUCAGCAACUUAGUGAGACCCUGUCUCUA